Long non-coding RNA from Pan troglodytes (chimpanzee), 741 nucleotides. RefSeq lists it as uncharacterized. NCBI's taxonomy places the organism in Eukaryota, Metazoa, Chordata, Mammalia, Primates, Hominidae. The transcript is spliced from 4 exons. The record is from RefSeq and is a predicted model, not a curated record.
AAAAGGGAGGCAGCUGUGAACAAGACAGACCAGGCUAUGUUUCCUGGAACUAUAGUACAUUCUAUGAGGGAAGGUUAUGCAAUAAAUACAUGAACACAUACGUGAAAGAUAAUAUAGUGCCACGCAGAGAAUAACAAUGGCUGAGACUGAAUGAUAACUAUCUACUGAACCAAUUAAUGAACAAAAGAGAAGUAGGAAGGAAGACUUUCUGAAAACCAUAUUCCCGGGAGGUAUAGAAUUCAAACAGGGAGCCCAAGGGCUGAGACGACACACCAAAGUAUCCUCUAAGAUAUAAGAAGACUUCCUGGAGAAGAUGCUUAUUGAGCAGAUGCUCUGGGCUGAGCUGGCUGAGGACAGGAAGAUGGUGACAGAAGACCAUCCCCACCCUCUGAAGGCUCACAGUCCAGAAGUGGGAGAUAGACAGCCCCGGGAAGCAGGUGUGACCAGCCCCACGGUGCUGAGGGAAGCAGAGGCUCGGAAGCGGAGGGACCUCCCCGAGAACACGGUGAAUACGCGUCAGAGCAGAACCGGAACCCGGGCCUAUUGGCUUCGAGUCUGUCCACGGACGGCAUGACGUGGUGAUUGAGCACCUGCUUCUCUUCUGAGUUGGAGGUGGUGAGAACACAGGAGGGGACUGACCCCCUAUUCCUGGCUCUUCACCCAGAAGAUCUCAGCUCGCUGUCAUUACUAUUUUAUUUUUAAUACCACUUGAUUAAUAUCACAUGACAUGUUCUCUGGAAA